CAUUUGCAGUUGCAGUUAACUCGAAGGGAGUCAUAUUCAUCAUAUGAAUCUGAUGUUUUAAUUGACGAUGAGAGGAAGAAGAGGCUACACAUUUUUCAUUUACCAUUUCAAAUGUUGGUGACCUUGGUUAAUUCCCGUGUUGAAUAUCCUCAAGACUAUGAUGACCAAUCUGAGGAGGACCAGAAGGAUUUCAAGCACAUCAGAUAU
Molecule: long non-coding RNA, 207 nt
Organism: Phalaenopsis equestris
Lineage: Eukaryota; Viridiplantae; Streptophyta; Magnoliopsida; Asparagales; Orchidaceae
Exons: 3
Source: RefSeq, a predicted model, not a curated record